GCAUAGCUCAGCGGUAGAGUAGGUGGCUGUUAACCACUUGGUCGUAGGUUCGAAUCCUACUGC
Molecule: transfer RNA, 63 nt
Filed under: human gut metagenome
Also listed under: 1 other name
Rfam family: tRNA
About the family: Transfer RNA (tRNA) molecules are approximately 80 nucleotides in length. Their secondary structure includes four short double-helical elements and three loops (D, anti-codon, and T loops).
Source: RNAcentral